RNAcentral lists this ribosomal RNA (473 nucleotides) under uncultured delta proteobacterium. Its description in RNAcentral is "bacterial SSU rRNA". It matches the Rfam family "Bacterial small subunit ribosomal RNA", at positions 400 to 863 of the family's 1533-position model. Lineage: Bacteria; Deltaproteobacteria. The record is from RNAcentral.
CGUGAGUGAAGAAGGCCUUUGGGUCGUAAAGCUCUGUCAAUCGGGAAGAAGUUAUUGUAUUCAAAUAGAGUAUAGUAUUGACGGUACCGAUGAAGGAAGCACCGGCUAACUCCGUGCCAGCAGCCGCGGUAAUACGGGGGGUGCAAGCGUUAUUCGGAAUUAUUGGGCGUAAAGGGCGCGUAGGCGGUUUUGUCGGUCAGAUGUGAAAGCCCGGGGCUCAACCCUGGAAGUGCAUUUGAAACAGCAAGACUUGAGUACGGGAGAGGAAAGCGGAAUUCCUGGUGUAGAGGUGAAAUUCGUAGAUAUCAGGAGGAACACCGAUGGCGAAGGCAGCUUUCUGGACCGAUACUGACGCUGAGGCGCGAAGGCGUGGGUAGCGAACGGGAUUAGAUACCCCGGUAGUCCACGCAGUAAACGAUGUUCACUAGGUGUAGCGGGUAUUAAAAUCUGCUGCGCCCAAGCUAACGCAUUAA